UACAGAGACUGCAAGCGUUAUUCGGAUUCACUGGGCGUAAAGGGUGCGCAGGCGGCCGUGUGUGUGAGGCGUGAAAGCCCGGGGCUCAACCCCGGAAUUGCACCUCAAACUACAUGGCUAGAGCAUUGGAGAGGGUAGCGGAAUUCACGGUGUAGCAGUGAAAUGCGCAGAUAUCAGGAAGAACACCCGUGGCUAAGGCGGCUCUCUAGUACGGUACUGACGCUGAGGAGCGAAAGCAUGGGGAGCGAACAGG
This 253-nucleotide ribosomal RNA is filed under the name uncultured bacterium. RNAcentral's name for it is "partial 16S ribosomal RNA". It matches the Rfam family "Bacterial small subunit ribosomal RNA", at positions 524 to 776 of the family's 1533-position model. The record is from RNAcentral.